Molecule: ribosomal RNA, 506 nt
Filed under: uncultured bacterium
Lineage: Bacteria
Description: partial 16S ribosomal RNA
Rfam family: Bacterial small subunit ribosomal RNA
Source: RNAcentral
AGUGAACGCUGGCGGUAGGCCUAACACAUGCAAGUCGAACGGCAGCACAGGAGAGCUUGCCCUCUGGGUGGCGAGUGGCGGACGGGUGAGGAAUACAUCGGAAUCUACUCUGUCGUGGGGGAUAACGUAGGGAAACUUACGCUAAUACCGCAUACGACCUACGGGUGAAAGCAGGGGACCUUCGGGCCUUGCGCGGUUGAAUGAGCCGAUGUCGGAUUAGCUAGUUGGCGGGGUAAAGGCCCACCAAGGCGACGAUCCGUAGCUGGUCUGAGAGGAUGAUCAGCCACACUGGAACUGAGACACGGUCCAGACUCCUACGGGAGGCAGCAGUGGGGAAUAUUGGACAAUGGGCGCAAGCCUGAUCCAGCCAUACCGCGUGGGUGAAGAAGGCCUUCGGGUUGUAAAGCCCUUUUGUUGGGAAAGAAAUCCAGCUGGCUAAUACCCGGUUGGGAUGACGGUACCCAAAGAAUAAGCACCGGCUAACUUCGUGCCAGCCGCCGCAGUAA